Molecule: ribosomal RNA, 253 nt
Filed under: uncultured bacterium
Lineage: Bacteria
Description: partial 16S ribosomal RNA
Rfam family: Bacterial small subunit ribosomal RNA
Source: RNAcentral
UACGGAGGGGGCUAGCGUUGUUCGGAAUUACUGGGCGUAAAGCGCGCGUAGGCGGAUCUGCAAGUCGGGGGUGAAAUCCCGAGGCUCAACCUCGGAACUGCCUUCGAUACUGCGGGUCUCGAGUCCGGGAGAGGUGAGUGGAAUUCCUAGUGUAGAGGCGAAAUUCGUAGAUAUUAGGAAGAACACCAGUGGCGAAGGCGGCUCACUGGCCCGGUACUGACGCUGAGGCGCGAAAGCGUGGGGAGCAAACAGG